AAAGAGGGACGACUAUAAUAGUUUCGCCUAUGGGGGUAUCUAUCGGAAGUUUGAGAAGAGAGUUAUCAGAAAGGGUUCUAACACUCUCAGAAUUGUUGGUGAUGUUCUCUUUAGUUGGUCGAGAACUGGAUGUUUGAUUAGAAGUCUCUUUUGCUUUUGAAGCAUUAGAAACUUCUUUUACCUUACUCUCACUUGAAACAUGAAAGUUGGCUAGUUUUUCGGUAAUCUGUUCAACCAGUUUAC
Molecule: long non-coding RNA, 243 nt
Filed under: Nicotiana benthamiana
Lineage: Eukaryota; Viridiplantae; Streptophyta; Magnoliopsida; Solanales; Solanaceae
Description: long non-coding RNA (NBEN_LNC036687)
Source: RNAcentral